GGGCGAGUGGUGGAACUGGUAGACACGCUAGGUUCAGGGUCUAGUGCUCUUACGAGCAUGGGGGUUCAAAUCCCCCCUCGCCCACCA
RNAcentral lists this transfer RNA (87 nucleotides) under Thermoleophilia bacterium. RNAcentral's name for it is "tRNA-Leu". It matches the Rfam family "tRNA". From Rfam's summary of the family: Transfer RNA (tRNA) molecules are approximately 80 nucleotides in length. Their secondary structure includes four short double-helical elements and three loops (D, anti-codon, and T loops). RNAcentral also lists the same sequence under 1 other name. Lineage: Bacteria; Bacillati; Actinomycetota; Thermoleophilia. The record is from RNAcentral.